GACGAACGCUGGCGGCGUGCCUAAUACAUGCAAGUUGAGCGAUGAAGAUUGGUGCUUGCACCAAUUUGAAGAGCAGCGAACGGGUGAGUAACGCGUGGGGAAUCUGCCUUUGAGCGGGGGACAACAUUUGGAAACGAAUGCUAAUACCGCAUAACAACUUUAAACAUAAGUUUUAAGUUUGAAAGAUGCAAUUGCAUCACUCAAAGAUGAUCCCGCGUUGUAUUAGCUAGGUGGUUAGGUAAAGGCUCACCAAGGCGAUGAUACAUAGCCGACCUGAGAGGGUGAUCGGCCACAUUGGGACUGAGACACGGCCCAAAACCCUACGGGAGGCAGCAGUAGGGAAUCUUCGGCAAUGGACGAAAGUCUGACCGAGCAACGCCGCGUGAGUGAAGAAGGUUUUCGGAUCGUAAAACUCUGUUGGUAGAGAAGAACGUUGGUGAGAGUGGAAAGCUCAUCAAGUGACGGUAACUACCCAGAAAGGGACGGCUAACUACGUG
Molecule: ribosomal RNA, 497 nt
Filed under: uncultured bacterium
Lineage: Bacteria
Description: partial 16S ribosomal RNA
Rfam family: Bacterial small subunit ribosomal RNA
Source: RNAcentral